UACGAAGGGGGCUAGCGUUGCUCGGAAUUACUGGGCGUAAAGCGCACGUAGGCGGUUUCUUAAGUCAGGGGUGAAAUCCUGGAGCUCAACUCCAGAACUGCCUUUGAUACUGAGAAGCUUGAGUCCGGGAGAGGUGAGUGGAACUGCGAGUGUAGAGGUGAAAUUCGUAGAUAUUCGCAAGAACACCAGUGGCGAAGGCGGCUCACUGGCCCGGUACUGACGCUGAGGUGCGAAAGCGUGGGGAGCAAACAGG
This 253-nucleotide ribosomal RNA is filed under the name uncultured bacterium. RNAcentral's name for it is "partial 16S ribosomal RNA". It matches the Rfam family "Bacterial small subunit ribosomal RNA", at positions 524 to 776 of the family's 1533-position model. The record is from RNAcentral.